Molecule: non-coding RNA, 102 nt
Filed under: Nicotiana sylvestris (wood tobacco)
Lineage: Eukaryota; Viridiplantae; Streptophyta; Magnoliopsida; Solanales; Solanaceae
Source: Rfam by way of RNAcentral
ACUGAUGUAUUCAACGAGUUUAUAGCCUUGGCCGACAGGCCCGGGUAAUCUUUGAAAUUUUAUCGUGAUGGGGAUAGAUCAUUGCAAUUCCUUGCCUUCAAA